GCCCACGGCCAUACCACUCUGAAUGCGCCCGAUCUCGUCUGGUCUCGGAAGCUAAGCAGGGUUGGACCUGGUUAGUUCUUGAAUAGGAGACUGCCUGGGAAUACCGGGUAGGCU
RNAcentral lists this ribosomal RNA (114 nucleotides) under Pteropus alecto (black flying fox). Lineage: Eukaryota; Metazoa; Chordata; Mammalia; Chiroptera; Pteropodidae. The record is from RNAcentral.